This 251-nucleotide small RNA is filed under the name Nannospalax galili (Upper Galilee mountains blind mole rat). Its description in RNAcentral is "Metazoan signal recognition particle RNA (ENSNGAG00000008447.1)". The record is from RNAcentral. Lineage: Eukaryota; Metazoa; Chordata; Mammalia; Rodentia; Spalacidae.
GCCGGGCAUGGUAGUGCACGCCUUUAAUCCCAGCACUUGGGAGGCAGAGGCAGGUGGAUCCCUGUGAGUUCAAGGCAAACCUGGUCUACAUAGUGAGUUCCAGGACAGCUGGGGCUACAGGGAGACCCUGUCUCAAAAAGACAAAAAAAAAAAACCAAAAACUUGUUUUUUUGUCUCCCUGUACCCCCAGCUGGCCUGGAACUCACUAUGCAGAUCAGGCUGGCCUCAAACUCAGAGAUCUGCCUGCCUCU